UUGGUGGGCUUCUAGUCCAUCUCUGCCACAGCUCUGCAAUGAAUUUAAAUUGAACUUAUUGCAUGCAUUGCUUAAUGUCCUUUGUUGUUAAACUAUUUCCUAAAUGGUACAACCUGAAUAUCUUAGUGUGACAAAUUUACUCAUGAAAGGUCCCUCUAUCAUCAGGUUGGAGGAAGUCUUGACAAGGAAGUUGGCAAGACUGGAACUCUCAGAGAUGACCACAGGAUGGAGAAUGUCGGGGGUAGUACAGCGUGGUGCAAGAAGCUCCAGCUCUGGGGCCAGUUGGACAGGGUUUGAUUCCAACUCUGGCACCUGUCAGUGGAGCAGCCUCAGAACAACAUGGCUGUCCAAGCACCAGACUUCAUGGGAAAGGAGAGGAGAGCUCAGGGAGCUUCCUUUCUGACUAUUCCGUGAAGGAUUUUAUUCUCUGGAAAAAAUAUUCUUCUCUAAACAUCCUCAGGGUGCUGCUCAUCAAUGGAAUACUCAGAUGACCACUGCUGAGCACCUGGAGGAGCAAAGAAGAUAAUCCCCUGGCUUCUGAGAGCUCACAUAUCAGCCAACAGAUUAAAUAUGAGAAUUGUAUUACCUGAAUGAGGAAAGAAGGCAGAGAGCUCAGUCAAGCCUGCUUGGACUUCUGACCUACACAGAAAGGAGAUGAUGAAUGAGUAUUGCUUAAAGUCGCUGAGUUUGGAAUGAAGUUACACCAUCAGCCUGAAACUUUCUGUAGUCUGAGGAGUCUGGUGCAGGGCAGCUGUCCUUUCUCUGGAGCUGGUCGUUAUGUCUUCAAAAUCCUCCCUCUUCUGAGAUCUUGCAAAGCGUAACUCCUUCUCCCUUGUGAUCCUACUUCUUCCAGAAGAAUGAACAAGCACCACUUUGAACUUCUGCCCUGGUACUUUCGGUGCAUUUGAAUCCAUUCCAUGCAGAGAAAAUGGCCUUUGGCAUCACUAAGUUUCCCCUACUCAUCAGCUAACUGGUAUGGUAUGAGUCCUCCUGCAAGGUAGUCUAGCGUGCACUUGACCUAGC
RNAcentral lists this long non-coding RNA (1023 nucleotides) under Equus asinus (donkey). RNAcentral describes it as "lncRNA (ENSEASG00005037182.1)". Lineage: Eukaryota; Metazoa; Chordata; Mammalia; Perissodactyla; Equidae. The record is from RNAcentral.